This 440-nucleotide ribosomal RNA is filed under the name uncultured bacterium. Its description in RNAcentral is "partial 16S ribosomal RNA". It matches the Rfam family "Bacterial small subunit ribosomal RNA", at positions 338 to 795 of the family's 1533-position model. The record is from RNAcentral.
CCUACGGGUGGCAGCAGUGGGGAAUAUUGCACAAUGGGGGAAACCCUGAUGCAGCGACGCCGCGUGAGUGAAGAAGUAAUUCGUUAUGUAAAGCUCUAUCAGCAGGGAAGAAAAUGCCGGUACCUGUGUAAGAAGCCCCGGCUAACUACGUGCCAGCAGCCGCGGGAAUACGUAGGGGGCAAGCGGUAUCCGGAUUUACUGGGUGUAAAGGGAGCGUUGACGGCAGUGCAAGUCUGGAGUGAAAGGCGGGGGCUCAACCCUCGGACUGCUCUGGAAACUGGACGGCUGGAGUGCAGGAGAGGUAUGUGGAAUUCCUGGUGUAGCGGUGAAAUGCGUAGAUAUUAGGAGGAACACCAGUGGCGAAGGCGGCUUACUGGACUGUAACUGACGUUGAGGCUCGAAAGCGUGGGGAGCAAACAGGAUUAGAUACCCGAGUAGUC